Molecule: non-coding RNA, 68 nt
Organism: Rhizobium sp. Root708
Lineage: Bacteria; Pseudomonadati; Pseudomonadota; Alphaproteobacteria; Hyphomicrobiales; Rhizobiaceae
Source: Rfam
AGUCAAGCGUCUUUGGCACCGUUUCGGUGAGCAAUUUUCUUUUGCCUCUAUGUAGGUGAAGAAAAAUG